Brienomyrus brachyistius is the source of this 286-nucleotide long non-coding RNA. RefSeq lists it as uncharacterized. The transcript is spliced from 2 exons. The record is from RefSeq and is a predicted model, not a curated record. NCBI's taxonomy places the organism in Eukaryota, Metazoa, Chordata, Actinopteri, Osteoglossiformes, Mormyridae.
CUACGCCACACCUAUUACGGUCUGUCCUAAAAUCAAAAGUGAUUCAUGUCUGCAGGUUACACCCCUUAAUAAUUUACACGUCUACCUCUGGCUGGUACUAUAAAAUGCAUGAAAUGAAAAUCCAGGUACAAGUCCAUGCUGCACUUUGUUAUUUCGACGGAAAAACAAAUUAAUGUAGCCUGCUUCAGCCUAAUUUGUCUUUGCUUGGCAUGAAAGUGCAUAAAGGGAAUUCAUUUGACCUAACAAAGACAGAAGCACUAGAGCAAAAAAAAAACAGAAGUGCACC